RNA transcript from Mus musculus (house mouse), 4016 nucleotides. It is a transcript of the gene named RIKEN cDNA 1700066M21 gene, with no coding region annotated. The transcript has 3 exons. The record is from RefSeq and is marked validated. Lineage: Eukaryota; Metazoa; Chordata; Mammalia; Rodentia; Muridae.
CACGGCGACCGAAGCCGUUGGGCAGCCGAGGCCCCGCCCUCGCUGCCGGGUGAGCGGCCCUGGCGGCUCGAGCCCAUGCUGGGGUCGCGGCGUCUGCGGUCCCCCGCGCUGGUGCUGCUGCUGCUGCGGCCGCUGCUCGCUUCCGGAGACUCCGCGUCCCGCCUGCAGACCCGAGCCAUGAACCCGGGCGGCGGUGAGCGGGGCUCCCCGGAGGACAGCCACCGUCUGCAGCGCUCCACGGUGCCGGGCUCCGACCCGCAGCGCAGCAACGAACUGCUCCUGCUGACAUCCCGGGAAGGAGAUUCCCCGGAGCAGCGGCACCACGUCCUCUACUUCCCUGGGGACGUGCAGAUUGAAAACAAGUGUGUUGCUUCUGCUUCCUGCGACUUGUGACCAACUACUUCAUGCCUUCCAGUGGUGGUGGUGGUGGUGGUGGUGGUGAUGGUGGCUGAGUACUUUCUGCUGUAAAAGUGUUCCAGACAGAACAUCCACCUGGCUUAAGUAGGGCCUAAAGUGUUCUAGAUAUAGUUUGAGGAUCAUCUUUCAUUUCCCAUCAUCAGCCUUUGGGACAAUGACAGAAUGGUAAUGUUCAGAGUGUGGGGUUUUAUAGAGCAUGAGGUCUUCUGGAAAAGAAAUGGAAGGCCGUGCAUCCCAAAGCUUCAAUGCCAAGUCACCCAGGUUUCCCAUUCCACUCUGUACUUCUUAGCUAUGAAGUCUAUGCAGAUGUUAAAUCUCUCCAUUGAAGUGCCUCAGAUAUAAAAGUCAGAGGGCCUCAAUCAAGCUGAAAUUUGGGAAUAACUCUAGUUAGGUUCCAGCCCCUUCUCACCUUCAAGUAGCCUCAUGCUCCACUCUUGGGAUUUUUUUACUCUACUCUUUCAGUGAUCUCUUUCCAUCUCGUGACUUUACAUACUGCCUCCAUGCUCACGAGCCUGGCAUUUAUUUAGUCUAGACAUUAGCGGGUGUUUAUGAACUCACCAAUUGCAUGCCUUUACUUCCUUUGGAUAUUUAGUAGCCUUCUAAAACUGAAAAUCUAUUGAAGCAGCCUUCCUUAUCCAGGUUAAUGAAAAUACCUAUUUAACGAUUCGACUUAGAAAUCCAAAGUCAUCUGUAGAUCUCUCAUAUCUCCGGUCUAAUCCAGCAGCAUGCAGUGUCUCCACCUCUCUGUAUGUACAGUGAUGGAACUGUGGUUGACAGCCAAGGUCUCAUUAUUCCACCCUCUUCCAGACCAUCCCAUGGCUUCCUGACCCUCAGCAGUAAGAGCCGGAGUUCUCUCAAGUGCUAGGAGUCCAGGUGCCAUCACAGCUUGCUUUCCUGCAGGGUAACUGUCGAGAAUUACCAUGAGAUUAUGACUCGUCAUCCUGAGAAUUAUCAAUGGGAAAAUUGGAGUCUAGAAAACAUUGCUACCAUUUUAGCCCGCCGUUUUCCCAAUAGUUAUAUUUGGGUAAUAAAGUGUUCCCGAAUGCAUUUGCACAAAUUCAGCUGCUAUGACAAUUUUGUGAAAAGCAACAUGUUUGGUGCACCAGAACAUACUCCGGACUUUGGAGCCUUUAAGCACUUGUAUAUGUUAUUAGUUAAUGCUUUUAACCUGACUCAGAACGGUAUGCUGUUCAAGAACAGGAGUGUUUGGAAUAAGGAUUGUAAAGCAUCUAACUGUGAGUCUAAUCCUUCUACUAGUAAUGGUGGCCAAAAGGAAAACGAGAGGACCUGUGAGCAUGUUGAUGAGCCUUCCAUGAGUUUUCCUCCACUGUCAUUGGAUGGUGCAUCGUUUACUUUGAUUGGAUUCAGUAAAGGCUGUGUUGUUUUGAAUCAGUUGCUGUUUGAGUUGAAGGAAGCCAAGAAAGACAAGAACAUAGAUGCAUUCAUCAAAAGCAUAAGAACAAUGUACUGGCUAGAUGGUGGGCAUUCUGGAGGAAGCAAUACGUGGGUCACAUAUCCAGAAGUCUUGGAAGAAUUUGCUCAAACAGGAAUUACUGUUCACACUCAUGUAACACCUUACCAAGUACAUGAUCCAAUGAGAUCCUGGAUUGGAAAGGAGCACAAGAAAUUUGUUCAGAUACUCAGGGAUUUGGGUAUGCAAGUGACCAGCCAAAUUCAUUUUGCGAAGGAAACUCCUUCCAUAGAGAAUCAUUUCAGGGUUCACGAAGUAUUCUGAGACUAUUAAUGUGCUUGCUUAAUGGGAGAAUAAAAUUUUGAAUGUUAUAAAUGCAGAUGAUGAGAUGCAAGAUUAAUGAUGCUUCAUCAGUUUGUGGGCUAAGAAGAUGCACAUUCCAAAAAUAUGAGUGUCAAAUACAGUAGGAUUGUUUUGCUUGUUAAGUGUGAUCAGUUUCAAAUUCUGAUCAGGUUAGAAUUAGCUUGAAAUCUAAAAGGGUUGUUUGUGCUAAUUCUAUGACCAUUAAAAUGAAGGCAACCAUGUUAGUUUUUUAAAAGGUAACAAAAUUGGUGUUGGAAAUAAUUGACUUUGCUGAGACCUAUUUUAAUCUAACUUUGGUGAUAAUGGCAUUCAGCUGUUGACUAGAGACACUGCACUUCUCUCUGUCCAACACACUCUGGGGACAACUACACCCUGCAUCCAGACUCCCGGGGUUGCUGAACCCCUAGACUCAUUCUCAGUGGUCCACCAAGUGUUUUGUUUUGUUUUUUAAAGUCAAAAUAUAUUUAUCCCCCUGUAUUCAAGAUUAUAGAAUAGUAUAGUUGGUUUUUAAAACAUUACACUGAGCACUGUAAGUUAAUUCUUAAUUGUCAGUUUUUAAUUAUUUGUUAGUGUGCUCUCAAAACGAGACAGAUUUCACAGACCUAAAUCAGCAUUUCUUCAGAAGCAUGGUUUUGUCUGCCAAGAGAAAAUAGCUUUCUUUGGCCAAAUGUAAAAUUAAAUUGAUGAGAUAAGAAAGGUUACAAAGGAAGGUUUGGAGACACAAAUAAUUUAAAUUUUGGCCCAGAAACUGAAUUUGCUUAACACUGCUACAUAAUUUGGGCACAUUUUUCUUUACUAGCAAAAUGCAUUUUGAGAAACCUAGAUCUAACGAAUUUCAAACAACAUUGGAACAUAGCUGUGUAGUUUUAAAUAGUGGUCAGGCACUUUUUUAUUUAUAAAUAAUGCUGUGCAGGUCAUGAAAUAACUAACAGGGAACUAAACCCUGCUGCUUUGGGCAAGGAACUGUACUAAAGAAUGGCACCUCCCAGGCCCAACAAGCUAGUCUAUUUAUCAAACAAUAUGAAAGUGUUAAGUCUGGUUUCUUCCAAAGUUACAUCUUAAUCAACCUAUAAGUAUAUUCCAAAUACUCACUCAUGGUAAAGGAUUCCUUCACACGUGUUGUUUUAAAAUGAGCAUGAUUCUAUCAACUUACAGUUGAGUAUCUGUACAUUUUCCCAAGUAGUUUUAUAUUGUCCCACUUUCUUUGAAUAUCCAUUCUUUUGAGAUUCAUUUAUUUGAGAUCAACACUUCCCAUUGUAAAAACAACUUACCUGGUUUCUAACUUACUAUGUACUUCCUUAACGUUAAGCACUGUGAUUGGAUGGCUAUCUUUAAUUUGUUUAAUAAUCCUCAAAUGUGUCAUUUAAUGUAAAACUGCACUACUGAAUGGUCAUACAGAAGGGCAAGGCUUUAGUUUUCACAGGAUUAACUGAAGUAGACAGAGAAGGGUUUUCCUUUAAGAACUCAUUGAGUUCUUCACCUCUCCCUCUGACUGUUCAAUUGUUACAUGUUAAAGUGGAUGUUGAUCAGAUGGACACUAAACCAUCAUCACCUCUGCAGACAGUGUUAAGUACCACAGAUGCUAAGGAGUGGAAAUGAUCGAGUUGACCCUCACACAGGUAUUUCUGUUUAGUACUUCAGAGUGGUCCUUUCUUUCAUCUGUUUAAAAUUGUAUAUGCUAAAUUUUUUAUGGUAAACAUGCAUUCUACUUGAUCGUGCCUUUGUAAAGAGUCACUGAGAGAAGUGGUCCUACAAAUGUGAGCAUUGUUACCACUACAGCAUGAAUGUAUAAUUAUAUUAAAGAUAAUAAUCCACAGAAAUGUUA